AGAGUUUGAUCCUGGCUCAGGAUGAACGCUGGCGGCGUGCUUAACACAUGCAAGUCGAACGAAGCACUUAUGACAGAUUCUUCGGAUGAUGGAUUAAAUGACUGAGUGGCGGACGGGUGAGUAACGCGUGGGUAACCUGCCUCAUACAGGGGGAUAACAGUUAGAAAUGACUGCUAAUACCGCAUAAGCGCACAGUACCGCAUGGUACGGUGUGAAAAACUCCGGUGGUAUGAGAUGGACCCGCGUCUGAUUAGCUAGUUGGUGGGGUAACGGCCUACCAAGGCGACGAUCAGUAGCCGGCCUGAGAGGGUGAACGGCCACAUUGGGACUGAGACACGGCCCAAACUCCUACGGGAGGCAGCAGUGGGGAAUAUUGCACAAUGGGGGAAACCCUGAUGCAGCGACGCCGCGUGAGCGAUGAAGUAUUUCGGUAUGUAAAGCUCUAUCAGCAGGGAAGAAAAUGACGGUACCUGACUAAGAAGCACCGGCUAAAUACGUGCCAGCAGCCGCGGU
RNAcentral lists this ribosomal RNA (513 nucleotides) under uncultured bacterium. RNAcentral describes it as "bacterial SSU rRNA". It matches the Rfam family "Bacterial small subunit ribosomal RNA", at positions 8 to 521 of the family's 1533-position model. The record is from RNAcentral.